RNAcentral lists this ribosomal RNA (501 nucleotides) under uncultured bacterium. RNAcentral describes it as "partial 16S ribosomal RNA". It matches the Rfam family "Bacterial small subunit ribosomal RNA", at positions 30 to 523 of the family's 1533-position model. The record is from RNAcentral.
AUUGAACGCUGGCGGCAGGCUUAACACAUGCAAGUCGAGCGGAGAUGAGGUGCUUGCACCUUAUCUUAGCGGCGGACGGGUGAGUAAUGCUUAGGAAUCUGCCUAUUAGUGGGGGACAACAUUCCGAAAGGAAUGCUAAUACCGCAUACGUCCUACGGGAGAAAGCAGGGGAUCUUCGGACCUUGCGCUAAUAGAUGAGCCUAAGUCGGAUUAGCUAGUUGGUGGGGUAAAAGCCUACCAAGGCGACGAUCUGUAGCGGGUCUGAGAGGAUGAUCCGCCACACUGGGACUGGAACACGGCCCAGACUCCUACGGGAGGGAGCAGUGGGGAAUAUUGGGGAAUGGGGGGAACCCUGAUCCAGCCAUGCCGCGUGUGUGAAGAAGGCCUUAUGGUUGUAAAGCACUUUUAGCGAGGAGGAGGCUACUUGGACUAAUACUCUUGGAUAGUGGACGUUACUCGCAGAAUAAGCACCGGCUAACUCUGUGCCAGCCGCCGCGGUAA